RNA transcript from Quercus lobata, 1522 nucleotides. It is a transcript of the gene named deoxyuridine 5'-triphosphate nucleotidohydrolase-like, with no coding region annotated. Lineage: Eukaryota; Viridiplantae; Streptophyta; Magnoliopsida; Fagales; Fagaceae. The record is from RefSeq and is a predicted model, not a curated record. The transcript is spliced from 5 exons.
AGAAGAGUGCAGCUCAAUUGGACACAGCUCGGACUGAGCAACCUAACCCAGUACGUACGCUACAAGAAAAUGGCGGGAAAGCUUGGCGCCAAAACCCGCGAAACUCCAUUUUUGGUGGCAAUCCCUCUAUUUAAACCCAACCCAUUUUCUGCUCGGUCCCUAAAACUCAGCUUUUGCAAAUACCCAUUUCUCAACCGUUCCUUCUCUACAGUCCUCACCAUGGCUCAGCCAGAUCUUCUUAAUCACAGCCCCGAAAUCAAAGAACCAUCGCUGAAGAUCCCAAAGCUUGGCCAAAACGGCGUCGCUGCUGAAAUCUCGAAGGACCCCAUUUCACUACUCAGAGUGAAAAAGCUUUCUGAGAAAGCUGUUUUACCUUCCAGAGGCUCUCCUCUCUCUGCUGGCUACGAUCUCUCCAGUGCAACGGAGACUAAAGUACCAGCAAGAGGAAAAGCAUUGGUUCCAACCGAUCUGAGCAUUGCAAUCCCUGAAGGAAGUUACGCUCGUGUUGCGCCAAGGUCUGGAUUGGCGUGGAAGCACUCGAUCGAUGUGGGUGCAGGUGUGAUCGAUGCUGACUACAGGGGUCCAGUUGGGGUUAUACUGUUUAACCAUUCGGAUGUUGAUUUUGAGGUGAAAGUGGGUGAUAGGAUUGCACAGUUGAUUAUUGAGAAGAUCUUGACACCUGAUGUGAUCGAGGUUGAGGAUUUGGACGCCACGGUUAGAGGCGAGGGUGGGUUCGGGUCUACUGGCGUAUGAGCGAGCUGCUUUGCUAUUAGCAACGGUGCCAUUACUCCUGCUUUCGUUUUCUUAGGGAUUAGAUUUUGGAUCAGUGACUUGUUUGAUGUUGUGGUCUGUGAGUAAUUAUGUCGAACGCAGAGCACAGAUGAACAUAAUAAAGUUGAAACAUGGGCCAUGUGCCUACAUAAUACGGUUUCUCAGUUGUGGAGCAGUAAGUGACUUAUAACUUCCUUUAUUUUUGCAAGCAUUUCAUCUCUUUUGGGUUCUUGGGAACACUUCCGAAUAUCAUGACACAUAUUUUUUGCAACACUGCAGUAGGCAUUACUGAUUAGGUAGUACUUUAUUAUGUGUUCUUUUGUUUGAGGAAAAUAUAUGCAGCUUCAUGUUUUAGAACAAGAAUGGAGUGUAAGAGAGUUCUUCUUUAUCAUGAAUCGAAAACCUCACAAGCUCUUGACAGAAUAUCAAGUAAUACUUCUUAAAAAGUAGAAUUUUAGUAUUCCAAUCAUUCAAGUCUCAAGUAAAUUAUCUGCAUUUAUUUUAAAAUGUUUACAUGAUUUUGGUGUUUACUUGAAUAAAGUGUUGUCUUAUUAAAGGUUCUUAAAGGGAGCCUCAAGCAUUGAUCAACAUUUCUAUUCAGCACCACACGAGAAAAAUACACCGGUGCUUUUAGGUUCGUUGAGCGUAUGGAAUGUUUCAUUUUUUGGGUAUCCGGCAAGAGGAAGCACUUAGCAUCUGCUCAAGACUUUAUUUUCAGCUGCCGCUUAAGCAUUUUCUUAUGAUGUCUGUU